CUACCCUUGACAUGCCUGGAACGAAGCAGAGAUGCAUUAGGUGCCCGAAAGGGAAGGUGGACACAGGUGCUGCAUGGCUGUCGUCAGCUCGUGUCGUGAGAUGUUGGGUUAAGUCCCGCAACGAGCGCAACCCUUGUCUCUAGUUGCUACGCAAGGGCACUCUAGGGAGACUGCCGGUGACAAACCGGAGGAAGGUGGGGAUGACGUCAAGUCCUCAUGGCCCUUAUGGGUAGGGCUUCACACGUCAUACCAUGGUCGCUACAGAGGGUCGCCAACCCGCGAGGGGGAGCCAAUCUCAGAAAACGCAUCGUAGUCCGGAUCGUAGUCUGCAACUCGACURCGUGAAGCUGGAAUCGCUAGUAAUCGCGGAUCAGAAUGYCGCGGUGAAUACGUUCCC
This 397-nucleotide ribosomal RNA is filed under the name uncultured Ralstonia sp. Its description in RNAcentral is "bacterial SSU rRNA". It matches the Rfam family "Bacterial small subunit ribosomal RNA", at positions 975 to 1375 of the family's 1533-position model. Lineage: Bacteria; Pseudomonadati; Pseudomonadota; Betaproteobacteria; Burkholderiales; Burkholderiaceae. The record is from RNAcentral.